CGGGGUGCAGCAGGCGCGAAAACUCUACAAUGCAGGCAACUGCGAUAGGGGAACAUCGAGUGAUACUCAUAUUGGGUGUCUGUCCCACCGUCUAAAAAACGGUGGUUAGCAAGGGCCGGGCAAGACCGGUGCCAGCCGCCGCGGUAAUACCGGCGGCUCGAGUGGUGGCCGAUAUUAUUGAGUCUAAAGGGUCCGUAGCCGGCUUUGCAAGUCUUUUGGGAAAUCCAGCGGCUUAACCGUUGGUCGUCCGGGAGAUACUACAUUGCUUGGGACUGGGAGAGGUAGGAGGUACUCAGGGGGUAGGAGUGAAAUCCUGUAAUCCUUUGGGGACCACCGGUGGCGAAGGCGUCCUACCAGAACAGGUCCGACGGUGAGGGACGAAAGCUAGGGGCACGAACCGGAUUAGAUACCCGGGUAGUCCUAGCCGUAAACGAUGCUCGCUAGGUGUCACAACAAUCGUGAAUUGUUGUGGUGCCGUAGGGAAGCCGUGAAGCGAGCCACUUGGGAAGUACGACCGCAAGGUUGAAACUUAAAGGAAUUGGCGGGGGAGCAC
Molecule: ribosomal RNA, 553 nt
Filed under: uncultured archaeon
Lineage: Archaea
Description: bacterial SSU rRNA
Rfam family: Archaeal small subunit ribosomal RNA
Source: RNAcentral